GUACUUGGCAAGGAGUGGAAAUGCAAAUUCACCAAGUUUCUCCCUCACUCAGCUAUAAAAGACUUCCCCUGACCGUAUCCUUUACCACAGAUCAUGUUCCGACUAAUUCUGCUGCAGCUGCUUCUGGCAGCAGAAUGUGUGAGGUGUGAACAGCUGACACAGCCAUCAUCUUUAGUUUUGCAGCUCGGCCAGCAGCUAGCCAUCGGCUGUCAGGUCUCUUAUUCUGUGGGUGACCAUCACACUCAUUGGAUCAGGCAACCACCAGGAAAAGAGCUGGAGUGGAUUGGAGGGGCUCGUGUUGGAUAUGAAGCAUACCAGAAAAGUUCUCUAAAGAGCAAGUUCAGUUUCAGCUUAGAGUCAUCCAGCAACACAGUGACUCUGAAUGGGCUGAAUAUGCAGCCUGAUGAUACUGCUGUGUACUAUUGUGCCAGACAGUCACACUGAUACAAAUCAUUAGUGCAGCUGUACAAAAACCCCACCGAGUCUGAGCAUAUUAUGAAGCCAGAAGAGGAGGCAUUCUCACCAUACUUACUGUCAGGACUCUGGGUUUUUGGUUUGGUUUUGCUUUUCAUUUUAUUUAGCUUUAUGUUUUAGUUCACUUUAGUUUAGCCCUUCAUUGUCCUUUUGAUAUUAUUAUUUGAUAUAUUUAGUGUAAUUAGAAUUGUCUUAUUGCUUUCCUUAUUUUCAGUCCUUUAUAGUGUUUCUAGUUAGGUUUAUUUUUUAGUUAUCUUAGGUUCUGUCCUUGUUUGUCUGAGUCCAUGUCAAGCCUUCUUUAAUGACUAUAGUUUGUUUCUGUUUUAUCCUUCUAGUAACUUCUUAUUUCAGCCUCCCUGCAGUGUUUCUAGUAAUGUUCAUUUCUUAAUUUUAUGACCCUAGGUUCAGUUAUUUUUUUCAUGUCUUUGUAU
Molecule: non-coding RNA, 905 nt
Organism: Xiphophorus couchianus (Monterrey platyfish)
Lineage: Eukaryota; Metazoa; Chordata; Actinopteri; Cyprinodontiformes; Poeciliidae
Source: the annotation of a RefSeq genome assembly